CCCAGACGAACAAAGCAGAAAAUGGUUGCUAUGGAGACAAAACCAACAGAAAAGCAGCCAUUUUGAAAAAUGUGUUUUUUACGUCAAUGUGUCGCAUACAGGUCAGAGCAGCCUUACUCAAAGAAGAGGAGGGGAGUCAAUGGUGUGCAGUGAAGGUCGGGUCAGAGGUCAGAGGUCAGAGGUGGGCAGCAAGGAAGGCGGUGGUGAUGCGUAGAGGCAGCGGCGAGGUCAAGAGCGGGUAGCGACUGCGGGCCAUACGAUGACAUGUUGCUUUAAUUACUUGGAAACACAAACAGGAAGUCUCUGACGGGUACUUCCUGUGCAGCCGGAGGCUCAGCGCCGAUCAGGAGCUCCAGGUUUCCUUCCAGACAAACGCUGUCGUCAGUCACAGCAGAUACAAAGUCAAUGAGGACCAACGCGCUCCUAGAGCAGGAGCGAUUCCCCUCAGCGCUGCCGAGCGAGCGGCUGGAGGAAUGGUCUCCAGAGGUUCCCCACCUGAGCUCGGUCCAAAUAAAGCAUCUCCAAAUCCAACAGGCGCACACACGUUACGCUGCCGAGUCCGGGGGGACAGCCGGUGCAGAAUGGAAAUUAAUAUUCUGAAUGUAGGCCAGGGCUGCAGCACCGCCGAGGCAUCCAUUCCAGCUUGAGGAUUUUGUUGAUCACAUUCUUUCCGUGUUGUUUUCUGCUUUGAAGUUUGGAAAUAAUAAAUACAACUUCCAAAGAAAAUCCCAAGAAAAGUGUUUUCAGGCUCUGAAGGGUAAAUCUGUUUCUCUGCUGAGAGACCAUCUCAGAGUUCAGGGAAAGUAAAGACGUUUGGAGUCUGAAGAGCCGCCUGCAGGUCUGACCUUUAACCCUUUCAGUCCAGGAGGUAACGUUGGUUCUGAUGUCAAUGAAAAGGUUUUCCAAGCCGGAGAAAAACAGAAGAUUAAAGAGAUCAACAGAGAAGAAACAUUUCCAUCUUCAUGCUGUUAUGAUCCGGUUGAGUUCUCUCAAAAACGUUUAUCUGAUCGAUUUAUUACUAAUGCCUCAAGAAUCCUCGGAAUAUUAUGUUAAAGACAGAAGCAGCAGUAAAACAGACGAAUAAACAGGAGAAGACGAACACAAAUGAGCAGCAAAGACUC
Oryzias melastigma (Indian medaka) is the source of this 1121-nucleotide long non-coding RNA. RefSeq lists it as uncharacterized. Lineage: Eukaryota; Metazoa; Chordata; Actinopteri; Beloniformes; Adrianichthyidae. The record is from RefSeq and is a predicted model, not a curated record. The transcript has 3 exons.